GGAGGGGUGGCUGAGUGGACGAAGGCACACGCUUGGAAAGCGUGCGUAGGUUUACCCCUACCGCGGGUUCGAAUCCCGCCCCCUCCGCCA
Molecule: transfer RNA, 90 nt
Filed under: Verrucomicrobiota bacterium
Lineage: Bacteria; Pseudomonadati; Verrucomicrobiota
Also listed under: 2 other names
Description: tRNA-Ser
Rfam family: tRNA
About the family: Transfer RNA (tRNA) molecules are approximately 80 nucleotides in length. Their secondary structure includes four short double-helical elements and three loops (D, anti-codon, and T loops).
Source: RNAcentral